Molecule: signal recognition particle RNA, 300 nt
Filed under: Phocoena sinus (vaquita)
Lineage: Eukaryota; Metazoa; Chordata; Mammalia; Artiodactyla; Phocoenidae
Description: Metazoan signal recognition particle RNA (ENSPSNG00000021390.1)
Rfam family: Metazoan signal recognition particle RNA
About the family: The signal recognition particle (SRP) is a universally conserved ribonucleoprotein.
Source: Rfam by way of RNAcentral
GCCGGGCGUGGUGGCGCGCGCCUGUAGUCCCAGCUACUCGGGAGGCUGAGGCAGGAGGAUCGCUUGAGCCCAGGAGUUCUGGGCUGUAGUGCGCUAUGCCGAUCGGGUGUCCGCACUAAGUUCGGCAUCAAUAUGGUGACCUCCCGGGAGCGGGGGACCACCAGGUUGCCUAAGGAGGGGUGAACCGGCCCAGGUCGGAAACGGAGCAGGUCAAAACUCCCGUGCUGAUCAGUAGUGGGAUCGCGCCUGUGAAUAGCCACUGCACUCCAGCCUGGGCAACAUAGCGAGACCCUGUCUCUU